GACGAACGCUGGCGGCGUGCUUAACACAUGCAAGUCGAACGGAAAGGCCCUGCUUUUGUGGGGUGCUCGAGUGGCGAACGGGUGAGUAACACGUGAGUAACCUGCCCUUGACUUUGGGAUAACUUCAGGAAACUGGGGCUAAUACCGGAUAGGAGCUCCUGCUGCAUGGUGGGGGUUGGAAAGUUUCGGCGGUUGGGGAUGGACUCGCGGCUUAUCAGCUUGUUGGUGGGGUAGUGGCUUACCAAGGCUUUGACGGGUAGCCGGCCUGAGAGGGUGACCGGCCACAUUGGGACUGAGAGACGGCCCAGACUCCUACGGGAGGCAGCAGGGGGGAAUAUUGCACAAUGGGCGGAAGCCUGAUGCAGCAACGCCGCGUGCGGGAUGACGGCCUUCGGGUUGUAAACCGCUUUCGACUGUGACGAAGCGUGAGUGACGGUAAUGGGUAAAGAAGCAACGGCUAACUACGUG
This 468-nucleotide ribosomal RNA is filed under the name uncultured bacterium. Its description in RNAcentral is "partial 16S ribosomal RNA". It matches the Rfam family "Bacterial small subunit ribosomal RNA", at positions 28 to 507 of the family's 1533-position model. The record is from RNAcentral.